AUUGAACGCUGGCGGCAGGCUUAACACAUGCAAGUCGAGCGGGGUGAUGGUGCUUGCACUAUCACUUAGCGGCGGACGGGUGAGUAAUGCUUAGGAAUCUGCCUAUUAGUGGGGGACAACAUCUCGAAAGGGAUGCUAAUACCGCAUACGUCCUACGGGAGAAAGCAGGGGAUCACUUGUGACCUUGCGCUAAUAGAUGAGCCUAAGUCGGAUUAGCUAGUUGGUGGGGUAAAGGCCUACCAAGGCGACGAUCUGUAGCGGGUCUGAGAGGAUUAUCCGCCACACUGGGACUGAGACACGGCCCAGACUCCUACGGGAGGAAGCAGUGGGGAAUAUUGGACAAUGGGGGGAACCCUGAUCCAGCCAUGCCGCGUGUGUGAAGAAGGCCUUAUGGUUGUAAAGCACUUUAAGCGAGGAGGAGGCUCUUUUGGUUAAUACCCAAGAUGAGUGGACGUUACUCGCAGAAUAAGCACCGGCUAACUCUGUGCCAGCCGCCGCAGUAA
RNAcentral lists this ribosomal RNA (503 nucleotides) under uncultured bacterium. RNAcentral describes it as "partial 16S ribosomal RNA". It matches the Rfam family "Bacterial small subunit ribosomal RNA", at positions 30 to 523 of the family's 1533-position model. The record is from RNAcentral.